This 722-nucleotide ribosomal RNA is filed under the name uncultured Fusobacterium sp. RNAcentral's name for it is "bacterial SSU rRNA". It matches the Rfam family "Bacterial small subunit ribosomal RNA", at positions 28 to 776 of the family's 1533-position model. The record is from RNAcentral. Lineage: Bacteria; Fusobacteriati; Fusobacteriota; Fusobacteriia; Fusobacteriales; Fusobacteriaceae.
GAUGAACGCUGACAGAAUGCUUAACACAUGCAAGUCAACUUGAACUUCGGUUUGGGUGGCGGACGGGUGAGUAACGCGUAAAGAACUUGCCUCACAGAUAGGGACAACAUUUGGAAACGAAUGCUAAUACCUGAUAUUAUGAUUUUAGGGCAUCCUAGAAUUAUGAAAGCUAUAUGCGCUAUGAGAGAGCUUUGCGUCCCAUUAGCUAGUUGGAGAGGUAACGGCUCACCAAGGCGAUGAUGGGUAGCCGGCCUGAGAGGGUGAUCGGCCACAAGGGGACUGAGACACGGCCCUUACUCCUACGGGAGGCAGCAGUGGGGAAUAUUGGACAAUGGACCAAGAGUCUGAUCCAGCAAUUCUGUGUGCACGAUGAAGUUUUUCGGAAUGUAAAGUGCUUUCAGUUGGGAAGAAGAAAAUGACGGUACCAACAGAAGAAGUGACGGCUAAAUACGUGCCAGCAGCCGCGGUAAUACGUAUGUCACAAGCGUUAUCCGGAUUUAUUGGGCGUAAAGCGCGUCUAGGUGGUUAUAUAAGUCUGAUGUGAAAAUGCAGGGCUCAACUCUGUAUUGCGUUGGAAACUGUGUAACUAGAGUACUGGAGAGGUAAGCGGAACUACAAGUGUAGAGGUGAAAUUCGUAGAUAUUUGUAGGAAUGCCGAUGGGGAAGCCAGCUUACUGGACAGAUACUGACGCUGAAGCGCGAAAGCGUGGGUAGCAAACAGG